RNAcentral lists this long non-coding RNA (793 nucleotides) under Nicotiana tabacum (common tobacco). RNAcentral describes it as "long non-coding RNA (NTAB_LNC005252)". The record is from RNAcentral. Lineage: Eukaryota; Viridiplantae; Streptophyta; Magnoliopsida; Solanales; Solanaceae.
CCUGGAGUGGUGAAGCUUUAUAGAGAGUGGGAAGCCCUCUGCUGUUGCAAGAUUUGCAAUGAACACGGCCGACGACAAUUAGAGGCUUCCCAGCAGGAUGAAUCAAGGGUGGUGGCAGCUUAACUGGUGGAGUCAGAGUUGGUGGAGAUGGUGUUAUAAUAGGUGGCUGAUCCGUUGGUGGUGCAGGCUCAAUAAUUGGUGGCUCGUAAUCAGAAGGUGGUGGCUCUACGGUUGUAGGCUCAUGAUCAGAGGGUGGAGCAGGUGGCGAGUCAACAAUUGGGGGUUCAUCAUAAGUAGCUGGUGGCGGAGGUGAUGAUCUAAUAGGUGGUGGAGGUGGCUGAGUAUAUGCUGGUGGUGGUGGUUUCCUUAUUGGUAGCUGAGUAGCUGGUGGUGGUAGUUUUGGUGGCUGAGAAAGUGGCGGUGCCCGUUGCAUUGCCGGUGGUGGUGUUGCUCGUUGCGUUGCUGGUGGCUGAGCAGCCGGUGACGGAGAUGGAGGUUUAAUAGGUGGCUUAGCAGAUGGUGGUUGCUUUGCUGGUGGCGGCGGAGGUGGAGGUGGUUGUUUUGGUGGUUGAGAUGGUGGUGGAGGCAGCAGAGGAGGUGGUGACUUAGCUGGUGGCGGCGGUGGUGACUUAGCAGGCGGCGGAGGGGAUGACUUAACCUGUGGUGGUGGUGAUGGUGAUGGCUUGUUUACCGGUGUAGGGCUAGAGGGGCUUUUCUUGGGAGACUUUCCAAAGAAUAAGUGAACUGUUGAGAAGAUUGGAUGGUGUUGUCCUUUGUCUAAUGACGAGCUUUC